RNAcentral lists this ribosomal RNA (468 nucleotides) under uncultured bacterium. RNAcentral describes it as "partial 16S ribosomal RNA". It matches the Rfam family "Bacterial small subunit ribosomal RNA", at positions 28 to 507 of the family's 1533-position model. The record is from RNAcentral.
GACGAACGCUGGCGGCGUGCUUAACACAUGCAAGUCGAACGGAAAGGCCCUGCUUUUGUGGGGUGCUCGAGUGGCGAACGGGUGAGUAACACGUGAGUAACCUGCCCUUGACUUUGGGAUAACUUCAGGAAACUGGGGCUAAUACCGGAUAGGAGCUCCUGCUGCAUGGUGGGGGUUGGAAAGUUUCGGCGGUUGGGGAUGGACUCGCGGCUUAUCAGCUUGUUGGUGGGGUAGUGGCAUACCAAGGCUUUGACGGGUAGCCGGCCUGAGAGGGUGACCGGCCACAUUGGGACUGAGAUACGGACCAGACGCCUACGGGAGGCAGCAGUGGGGAAUAUUGCACAGUGGGAGGAAGCCUGAUGCAGAAACGCCGCGUGCGUGAUGACGGCCUUCGGGUUGUAAACCGCUUUCGCCUGUGACGAAGCGUUAGUGACGGUAAUGGGUAAAGAAGCACCGGCUAACUACGUG